GGGAUUUUGGUCUAGUGGUAUGAUUCUCGCUUCGGGUGUGAGAGAUUCUGGGUUCGAUUCCCUGAAAUCCCU
This 72-nucleotide transfer RNA is filed under the name Cryptomonas curvata. RNAcentral's name for it is "tRNA-Pro". It matches the Rfam family "tRNA". From Rfam's summary of the family: Transfer RNA (tRNA) molecules are approximately 80 nucleotides in length. Their secondary structure includes four short double-helical elements and three loops (D, anti-codon, and T loops). Lineage: Eukaryota; Cryptophyceae; Cryptomonadales; Cryptomonadaceae. The record is from RNAcentral.